UACGUAGGGGGCAAGCGUUGUCCGGAAUUAUUGGGCGUAAAGCGCGCGCAGGCGGUCAUUUAAGUCUGGUGUUUAAUCCCGGGGCUCAACCCCGGAUCGCACUGGAAACUGGGUGACUUGAGUGCAGAAGAGGAGAGUGGAAUUCCACGUGUAGCGGUGAAAUGCGUAGAUAUGUGGAGGAACACCAGUGGCGAAGGCGACUCUCUGGGCUGUAACUGACGCUGAGGCGCGAAAGCGUGGGGAGCAAACAGGAUUAGAUACCCUGGUAGUCCACGCCGUAAACGAUGAGUGCUAGGUGUUAGGGGUUUCGAUACCCUUGGUGCCGAAGUUAACACAUUAAGCACUCCGCCUGGGGAGUACGGUCGCAAGACUGAA
Molecule: ribosomal RNA, 375 nt
Filed under: uncultured bacterium
Lineage: Bacteria
Description: bacterial SSU rRNA
Rfam family: Bacterial small subunit ribosomal RNA
Source: RNAcentral